GAUGAACGCUGGCGGCGGGCCUAAUACAUGCAAGUCGAGCGGACAGACGAGGGGCUUGCUCCUCUGACGGUAGCGGCGGACGGGUGAGUAACAAAUGGAUAACCUACCUAUAAGACAGGGAUGACUACGGGAAACCGGAGCUAACAAAGGACAAUAGAUUGCACCGCCUGGUUCAAUAGGAAAAGACGGGUUUGCUGCGACCUGUAGAUGGGUCCGCGCUGCGUUAGCUAGUUGGUAAGGUAACGGCUUACCAAGGCAACGAUGCGUAGGCGACGUGAGAGGGUGAUCGGCCACCCUGGAUCUGAGACGCGGUACAGACUCCAACGCGAGGCAGCAGUAGGGAAUCUUCUGCAAUGGGCGAAAGCCUGACGGAGCAACGCCGCGUGAGUGAUGAAGGUCUUCGGAUCGUAAAACUCUGUUAUUAGGGAAGAACAAAUGUGUAAGUAACUAUGCACGUAUUGACGGUACCUAAUCAGAAAGCCACGGCUAACUACGUG
This 497-nucleotide ribosomal RNA is filed under the name uncultured bacterium. RNAcentral's name for it is "partial 16S ribosomal RNA". It matches the Rfam family "Bacterial small subunit ribosomal RNA", at positions 28 to 507 of the family's 1533-position model. The record is from RNAcentral.